RNAcentral lists this long non-coding RNA (515 nucleotides) under Apteryx owenii (little spotted kiwi). RNAcentral's name for it is "lncRNA (ENSAOWG00000004422.1)". The record is from RNAcentral. Lineage: Eukaryota; Metazoa; Chordata; Aves; Apterygiformes; Apterygidae.
CGACAGUGAACCAGGCAACUUCUUUCUUGUCAGUUUUGAUUUUCUUUUAGCUCUUGGGGUUAGUAUAAAUCUGUACUUUUUAGACACUGGAGAAGGAUUAUCUCGAAUGGAAAUGAAAGUAGUUGGUGGCUAAUUUUUCCUUUCUUUUAAUCUAGUGUGGAAGAACCAGGUGGCUGAGACUUCGUGUGAACACGUUCUCCUGAGUUUGAUACAAGGCUGCGCAUCCCAGGCAACGCGUGAUUAUUGAGUGCUCCGAGAGAUGGGCCUGAUAUCGACGCUUCCGUAGAACUGGGGCACCACAAAUAAGACCACGAGGAUGCUUCAGAGACAGGUGUAAAUGUCUGUGCCUUGUCUCGAAUUCUCCCAGAUACACGAUACUACAUUGCAAAGUUUAUGCAAGCCUGGCAACUGAACACAGAUUGCCUGAAUUGCAAAGUGUUGCUUCAGUGUGAACACCUCCAUCCUGUCUAUUUAAGAGCUCGUUUCCCACGAAGAUGGCUUUGUGUGGAUAGUCC